CCGAGUGCGGGUCCUCGCGGCCCAACCUCCCACCCUUGUCCUCUAUACACCUGUUGCUUUGGGCGGGCCCCACUGGGGCCACCUGGUCCGCCGGGGGACGCAUGUCCCCCGGGCCCGCGCCCCGCCGAAGCGCUCUGUGAACCCUGAUGAAGAUGGGCUGUCCUGAGUACCAUGAAAAAUUGUCAA
Molecule: unclassified non-coding RNA, 186 nt
Filed under: soil metagenome
Description: partial internal transcribed spacer 1
Source: RNAcentral